This 253-nucleotide ribosomal RNA is filed under the name uncultured bacterium. RNAcentral describes it as "partial 16S ribosomal RNA". It matches the Rfam family "Bacterial small subunit ribosomal RNA", at positions 524 to 776 of the family's 1533-position model. The record is from RNAcentral.
GACGUAGGGUGCAAGCGUUAUCCGGAAUUAUUGGGCGUAAAGAGCUCGUAGGCGGUUUGUCGCGUCUGCUGUGAAAACCGGAGGCUCAACCUCCGGCCUGCAGUGGGUACGGGCAAACUAGAGUGCGGUAGGGGAGAUUGGAAUUCCUGGUGUAGCGGUGGAAUGCGCAGAUAUCAGGAGGAACACCGAUGGCGAAGGCAGAUCUCUGGGCCGUAACUGACGCUGAGGAGCGAAAGCGUGGGGAGCGAACAGG